UGGGGAAUAUUGCACAAUGGGCGAAAGCCUGAUGCAGCAACGCCGCGUGAGUGAUGAAGGCCUUCGGGUUGUAAAGCUCUGUCUUCUGGGACGAUAAUGACGGUACCAGAGGAGGAAGCCACGGCUAACUACGUGCCAGCAGCCGCGGUAAUACGUAGGUGGCAAGCGUUGUCCGGAUUUACUGGGCGUAAAGGAUGCGUAGGCAGAUACUUAAGUCAGAUGUGAAAAUCCCGGGCUUAACUUGGGAACUGCAUUUGAAACUGGGUAUCUAGAGUGCGGGAGAGGAAAGUGGAAUUCCUAGUGUAGCGGUGAAAUGCGUAGAGAUUAGGAAGAACACCAGUGGCGAAGGCGACUUUCUGGACCGUAACUGACGCUGAGGCAUGAAAGCGUGGGGAGCAAACA
Molecule: ribosomal RNA, 402 nt
Filed under: uncultured bacterium
Lineage: Bacteria
Description: bacterial SSU rRNA
Rfam family: Bacterial small subunit ribosomal RNA
Source: RNAcentral